CUAAGUUGAAUGUUUAUGCCGAAGAUAUUCAACGUCAUAAACAUCUAAGUUGAAUGUUUAUGACGUUGAAUAUCAACGUCAUAAACAUCUAAG
Non-coding RNA from Paramuricea clavata, 93 nucleotides. The record is from the annotation of a GenBank genome assembly. NCBI's taxonomy places the organism in Eukaryota, Metazoa, Cnidaria, Anthozoa, Malacalcyonacea, Plexauridae.